GGGCCCGCACAAGCGGUGGAGCAUGUGGUUUAAUUCGAUGAUACGCGAGGAACCUUACCAGGUCUUAAAUGCAUAACGAACGAUUGGGAAACCAAUUUUUCUUCGGACGGAAUGCAAGGUGCUGCAUGGUUGUCGUCAGCUCGUGCCGUGAGGUGUCAGGUUAAGUCCUAUAACGAGCGCAACCCCUAUUCUUAGUUGCCAGCGGUUCGGCCGGGGACUCUAAGAAAACUGCCAGUGCAAGCUGUGAGGAAGGUGGGGAUGACGUCAAAUCAUCACGGCCCUUACGACCUGGGCCACACACGUGCUACAAUGGUAGGUACAAAGGGCAGCCACUUGGCGACAAGGAGCUAAUCUCAUAAACUCGGUCUCAGUUCGGAUUGCAGGCUGCAACUCGCCUGCAUG
Molecule: ribosomal RNA, 402 nt
Filed under: uncultured bacterium
Lineage: Bacteria
Description: bacterial SSU rRNA
Rfam family: Bacterial small subunit ribosomal RNA
Source: RNAcentral